GUUGGAUACAGUCAGUGGAGGAACAAGGGGUUUAAGGUAAAAUAUUCCACAGCAGAGGGAAUGAAAUUCAUAAUCCUCGUGGUGUCAUAACGGUUGGCGAGGGUGGCUUCUGGAGACCAAUGAAAAAUAUGUUCGUGCGGUCGAGGAGGA
This is a long non-coding RNA of Diachasmimorpha longicaudata, 150 nucleotides long. RefSeq lists it as uncharacterized. The record is from RefSeq and is a predicted model, not a curated record. The transcript is spliced from 3 exons. NCBI's taxonomy places the organism in Eukaryota, Metazoa, Arthropoda, Insecta, Hymenoptera, Braconidae.